GUUUUUUUAGAAAUAAAUUUAAUUUACAAAUUUUUAAUUUUUUAUUUAUUUAUUUAAUUAAAAAAAUUAUUAAUUUGAAUAUUUUAAGGGAUAAGCUUUAAAAUAAAUUAUUAAAAAUUAAUAAAUUAAAUAUAAAAUGUAUGAAUAGAAUUUUCAAUCAUUUAUGAGUUUGUUAUAAAUUAUUUUAUAACUUAUAUUAUUUAUUAUAAUUUUAAAUUUUUAUAAAAAUUUUUUCAUAAAUUUUUUAUGAAAAUAAAUAAUGAUGAAAUUAGUAUAUUAAUAUUGUAUAUAUAAUUUUAUAUGACAAGUUUAUAUAAAGAACUCGGCAAAUUUAUAUACUCGCCUGUUUAACAAAAACAUGUCUUUUUGAGUUAUUUUUAAAGUCUGACCUGCCCACUGAAUAAAUUUAAAUGGCCGCAGUAUUUUAACUGUGCAAAGGUAGCAUAAUCAUUAGUUUUUUAAUUGAAGGCUGGUAUGAAUGGUUGGACGAAGUAUAAACUGUUUCAUGUAAAUUUAUUAUAGAAUUUUAUAUUUUAGUUAAAAAGCUAAAAUUUAAUUAAAAGACGAGAAGACCCUAUAAAUCUUUAUAUUUAUUAUUAUUUUAAUUUUUUAGAUAUAUUUUAUUUUAAUAAUAUUAAAUAUUUUGUUGGGGUGAUGUUAAAAUUUAAUAAACUUUUAAUUAUUAAAAUCAUUAAUUUAUGAUUUAUUGAUCCGUUAAUAACCAUUAUAAGAUUAAGUUACUUUAGGGAUAACAGCGUAAUUUUUUUGGAGAGUUCUUAUCGAUAAAAAAGUUUGCGACCUCGAUGUUGGAUUAAGAUAUAUUUUUAGGUGUAGCCGCUUAAAUAUU
RNAcentral lists this ribosomal RNA (847 nucleotides) under Rhagoletis completa. RNAcentral describes it as "partial 16S ribosomal RNA". Lineage: Eukaryota; Metazoa; Arthropoda; Insecta; Diptera; Tephritidae. The record is from RNAcentral.